Molecule: non-coding RNA, 530 nt
Organism: Rattus norvegicus (Norway rat)
Lineage: Eukaryota; Metazoa; Chordata; Mammalia; Rodentia; Muridae
Source: RefSeq, a predicted model, not a curated record
ACCCAGAGACAUAUUUAUUUAUAAAUGCUUAGGAUUUACUAUUUAGCCUUGUCCCCAACUAGCUUGUAUAACUUAAUAACCCCUUAUCAAUCUUUGUCUUCAGGUUAAAGGCAGUCACUUUAUCUGAUAUGCAUCAAGCCUUACUGCAUCCAAAGCGGAAGCAGGAAGCAGUGGGGAUAGUAAUCUAUCCUUGCAAUAUUGCCUGUUACCUCGAAUUCGGUCCCCAUACUUCUGCCAUACUUCUGACUUCCUCUGUGGCUGGCUGGCAAGUCUCACCCUCCUGAUUACAGCUGUGGAAUUGACGGCUUGCCCGCUUUGUUUUGUCUUCACUGCAACAAAUUAUUACUAAGUUUCCGCUGGAGUCUGCUUUCAAACAACAAGACUAAAAUCCCCAGGAGAUUCUGACACUCCCGGUAUCAGAUGACGAGGUUCCCUCUGGACUCUCUAAGAUUUAUGGUAGCAUUUCCAUUUAUGCAUCCCUAAGUCAUCGCCAGUAAGACUGUCUGAAAGUAAAAAUAAAAAUUGAAGCG